Molecule: long non-coding RNA, 1353 nt
Filed under: Gouania willdenowi (blunt-snouted clingfish)
Lineage: Eukaryota; Metazoa; Chordata; Actinopteri; Blenniiformes; Gobiesocidae
Description: lncRNA (ENSGWIG00000014034.1)
Source: RNAcentral
AUGGAUGACAUGGUCGAAAAUGGAGGUGGAAUGCAGGGGGUCUGCAGUCAGAGGGAAAAAGGGAAGAACGGGUCUAGCAGCUCAAUGAGCGAAAUUCGGUGUGAGUUCAAUAGCAUCUUAGAUGGUACUGUGUCUCGGAUGAGAACAUGGGAGAAGAAGAUGAGCACUGAGCUGGAGAAGAAAGAUGAGGAGACCCUCUCUUUAAAGAAAACUCUCCAACAGGCCGACAGUGACCUGGAGCACAUUGAGCAUAGAGUGCGUAAGCUCAACCAGGACCAUCAAGAUACUGUGUCUCAGGUGAAAGCUGAAUGGGGGAAGAAGACGAGCAUUGAGCGAAAGAAGAAAAAUGAGGAGAUUUUCUCUUUAAGGAAAGCUCUCCAACAGGCCGACAGUGACCUGGAGCACAUUGAGCAUGGAGUGCGUAUUCUCAACCUCAACCAUCAGGAUACUGUGUCCCAGAUAGAAGCAAAAUGGGAGAAGAAGAUGAAGACUGAGCUGGAGAAGAAAGAUGAGGAGAUCCUCUCUUUAAAGAAAACUCUCCAACAGGCCGACAGUGGAGUGGAGAACAUGAAGAGUGAAAGGGAGAAGAUAAACACUGAACUGGAGAAGAAAGAUGAGGAGAUCUUCUCUUUAAAGAAAACUCUCCAGCAGGCCAACAGUAGAGUGGAGAACAUGGAGCGUGAAGUGUGUAGGCUCAACAGCUACCAUCAGGAUACUGUGUCCCUGAUGGAAGCAGAAUGGGUGAAGGAGAAGAAUAUUGAGAUGGAGAAGAAAGAUCAGGAGAUCCUCUCUUUAAAGAAAACUCUCCAACAGGGAAACAGGAGACUGGAGCACAUUAGGAAUGCAUUAAACUGCAUUUUUGAUGAUGAUGUGUCUCUGAAUGGAGCAGAAAGGGAGAAGACAACGGACACUGAGCUGGAAAAGAAAGAUGAGGAGAUCCUCCCUUUAAUGGAUGUUCAACACCACAAUGGGAUCAUUCCACUGUCUCCUCCUCUGGAGGAGGACACAGUGGAUAGAAUGAUUGACCUUCAGAAAGAACAUGAGGAAAAGCUCACCGACGAACGCCAGGAAACAACAAAACAAGUUAUAGCCCUGACGAAUGAGAACUGUGAUCUCCUGACACAGAUUUCCACCUUGGGGAACAAAGACGCUGAGUGGGACACUCAGUAUGGAGUUCUUCAGACCCAACAUCUCACUCUGAUGGAGGAAAAGGAGAAAAAAACACAAGAAAUGGAGCUUCUGGUGAAGGAAAACGCUGAACUAAAAGUGCUCACCGCCACAAGUGGAAAGCCAAGAAAGAGAAGGAACAGGACAAAGAAGAAGAAGAAGAAGACGAAGGACGUGGAGAUGGAG